GAGUGAGAACUGAGGCCAUCACAAUUCCCACCACUUCCUGUUGCUGUGUUGACUUUUAGAGAAGUCUGUUUCUCAUAAAAGCAGCAUCCCUGAAGCCAGCAGGCCAGCUAGACUGAGGAUCAUGGCUGUGGUUCUUCACACUCUGCUCUGUCUUGGGUUGUAUCUAAGUCAGAGCACUCAGGUGCAGGAGGGGGCUUAUGAAAAACCCUCACUCUCGAGCUUGAGUGGCACCGCGGUGGCUUCGGGAAACAAUGUGACAUUACUGUGUUUCUCAAAAGAUAAGUUUCAGGCAUUUAUUCUCAUGAAAGAUGGACUUCCCACCAUCCAGAGAAAAAGCUCCGCACACAAGAACAACAAACAUCAGGCUGUCUUCCACUUGGGCCGUGUUACCUCCACUCAGGCAGGAACCUACAGAUGCUGUGGUGCCUUCGACGAUUACCCUUAUGUGUGUUCUCAUCUC
Long non-coding RNA from Molossus molossus (Pallas's mastiff bat), 460 nucleotides. RefSeq lists it as uncharacterized. The transcript has 3 exons. The record is from RefSeq and is a predicted model, not a curated record. Lineage: Eukaryota; Metazoa; Chordata; Mammalia; Chiroptera; Molossidae.